GAGACACCCUUAUGGGGCAGGACUUGCUUCAGUGGGGCUUUGGUGCUCACUGAGUUUGCCUCUUGAGUGUGUCACU
Myotis lucifugus (little brown bat) is the source of this 76-nucleotide non-coding RNA. The record is from Rfam. NCBI's taxonomy places the organism in Eukaryota, Metazoa, Chordata, Mammalia, Chiroptera, Vespertilionidae.